UCGGGAAUUUUGGGCAAUGGGCGAAAGCCUGACCCAGCAACGCCGCGUGAAGGAUGAAGUAUUUCGGUAUGUAAACUUCGUAAGAAUAGGAAGAAUAAAUGACGGUACUAUUUGUAAGGUCCGGCUAACUACGUGCCAGCAGCCGCGGUAAUACGUAGGGACCAAGCGUUGUUCGGAUUUACUGGGCGUAAAGGGCGCGUAGGCGGCGUGGUAAGUCAUCUGUGAAAUCUCCGAGCUUAACUCGGAACGGUCAGAUGAUACUGCUGUGCUAGAGUACAGAAAGGGCAAUCGGAAUUCUUGGUGUAGCGGUGAAAUGCGUAGAUAUCAAGAGGAACACCUGAGGCGAAGGCGGGUUGCUAGGCUGAUACUGACGCUGAGGCGCGAAAGCUAGGGUAGCAAACGGGAUUAGAUACCCAAGUAGUCCCUGAGCGGGCUGGCAAGGCGCAU
RNAcentral lists this ribosomal RNA (447 nucleotides) under uncultured bacterium. RNAcentral describes it as "bacterial SSU rRNA". It matches the Rfam family "Bacterial small subunit ribosomal RNA", at positions 355 to 825 of the family's 1533-position model. The record is from RNAcentral.